AUGGGCUCCCCAGUUUCACCCAUCGUGGCCAAUUUGUACAUGGAAGAAGUGGAAAAGAGGGCGUUGCUAUCCUACCCUGGAACACCACCAAGCCAUUGGUUCAGAUAUGUGGAUGACACCUGGGUGAAAAUCAAAUCUCAGGACGUACUACAAUUCACGGAUCACAUUAACUCGGUGGACCAACACAUCAAAUUCACCAGGGAGGAUAUGAAAAGUGGCAGGUUAGCCUUCUUAGACUGUGAGAUUUCCAUCAGUAAUGGGGGACAUCUAAAAGCUGACGUGUACCGUAAACCUACGCAUACGGAUCAGUAUCUAAGGUUUGACUCUCAUCAUCCACUGGAGCACAAACUGGGUGUCAUCAGGACGCUACAACACAGAGCGAACACCAUCCCCACUGACACAGCGACCAGGGAGGCAGAAGAACAGCACAUCAAGAAGGCCCUGAGUAAAUGUGGUUAUCCCAGCUGGACUUUUGUCAAAGCUGGGAAGGCACCUAAAGAAAGCUCCAGCCGAUCCAGAAGAGAAGGACAACCGCUGCCCAGGCGAAAACCUGUAGUAAUCCCAUAUGUGUCAGGAGUAUCGGAACAGUUGAGACGCAUUUUUUCUAAACACCGGGUCUCUGUGGCUUUUAAACCCCAAAACACGCUGUGCCAAAAACUGGUCCACCCCAAGGAUCGGGUCCCCCGACACAAACAGAGUAACAUAGUGUACGCUGUUAAGUGCCAGGAGGAUUGCCAGGAUUUAUACAUCGGGGAAACCAAACAACCUCUAGCGAAGCGGAUGGCACAACACAGAAGAGCAACCUCAUCAGGCCAGGACUCUGCAGUUUAUUUACACCUACAGGCCAGUGGACACUCUUUCAACGAUGAGGAUGUACACAUCCUGGACAGGGAGGAACGCUGGUUUGAGCGCGGAGUCAAGGAGGCCAUUUACGUGAAAAGGGAAAGACCAUCUCUGAAUCGAGGAGGGGGCCUAAGGGUACAUCUUUCGCCAUCUUACAAUGCUGUGAUUGCAGCCAUUCCCCAACUCUCUGUGAAUGGUACUCAUGGCCGUUGA
This 1056-nucleotide long non-coding RNA is filed under the name Oreochromis niloticus (Nile tilapia). RNAcentral describes it as "lncRNA (ENSONIG00000028039.1)". The record is from RNAcentral. Lineage: Eukaryota; Metazoa; Chordata; Actinopteri; Cichliformes; Cichlidae.